Molecule: long non-coding RNA, 781 nt
Organism: Homo sapiens (human)
Lineage: Eukaryota; Metazoa; Chordata; Mammalia; Primates; Hominidae
Product: long intergenic non-protein coding RNA 1584
Source: Ensembl
UGUGUAACUCCUAGUUGAGUGUGAAGACCUGAGGUAUCAGGGGUAGGGGUUGCUCUGCUUGUGUAAGUCCCAUAGUGUGAAGGCCAGAGAACCAAGAGAUGGUCAAGAAGAGAGAGUAAGUGUCCAAUGUCCCAGCUCAAGAAGAGAGACAAGACCAACCCCGCCUCUUCCUUCUCCUUCUCGACCUACUCAAAGUAAAGAUGAGGAUGAAGACCCUUAAGAUGAUCCACUCCCACUUAAUGAAUAAAACUUUUGUGGAUAGCUAAGUUACUGCUAGCCAUCUGAUUAUAGCAAUGGCUUCCAGGAGCAUCACGACCUGUGCAGACUCCCCAGCAUCAUAACAGGAAGGUCCCACGAUCACGAGCACAUUGCCUUCAGCAUCCAGCACUGAAUAUGGUGAAUUGCACUCUGAAGAGCUUCCUAAGCUUGUAAGAAAGUGAUUCUGAAAAGCUCAACAUUUUGGUAGAAUGGAGAGAUUUGACAUUGCUUCUGCUCCAAAAGCAAAAGACUUGGCUUAGGUGACUGCAGCAAGAGAUGUCCAGAGUCUCAACAUUGGGUGAUUGAAGAGCAGAAAGACUGGCAUGAAAUAUCUGUCAACAUAGCUCAACAAGGAAUCAGGAAGAGAGAGUCUUCAAGAUGGCUGACUAGAGGCAUCUGGUACUUGCCUCCUCCACAAAGAAGAACCAAAAUAGCAAGUAUAUUAUUACACUUCGAAUAGAUCAUCUAAGAAAGAACACUGGAAUUCAACCAAGAAGUGGCAAUAAAUACCUAAGGCAAGGAA